RNAcentral lists this ribosomal RNA (261 nucleotides) under uncultured Oscillibacter sp. RNAcentral describes it as "partial 16S ribosomal RNA". It matches the Rfam family "Bacterial small subunit ribosomal RNA", at positions 72 to 339 of the family's 1533-position model. Lineage: Bacteria; Bacillati; Bacillota; Clostridia; Eubacteriales; Oscillospiraceae. The record is from RNAcentral.
CUUGCUUUCUCGAGCGAGUGGCGAACGGGUGAGUAACGCGUGAGGAACCUGCCUCAAAGAGGGGGACAACAGUUGGAAACGACUGCUAAUACCGCAUGACACAUUGGGGUCGCAUGGCCUUGAUGUCAAAGAUUUAUCGCUGAAAGAUGGCCUCGCGUCUGAUUAGCUAGUUGGUGAGGUAAUGGCCCACCAAGGCGACGAUCAGUAGCCGGACUGAGAGGUUGAACGGCCACAUUGGGACUGAGAUACGGCCCAGACUCC